Rhododendron vialii is the source of this 3876-nucleotide long non-coding RNA. RefSeq lists it as uncharacterized. The transcript has 2 exons. NCBI's taxonomy places the organism in Eukaryota, Viridiplantae, Streptophyta, Magnoliopsida, Ericales, Ericaceae. The record is from RefSeq and is a predicted model, not a curated record.
CGGAGAGAGUAACUGAUAAGAUACAAAGAUUCAGAAAUUAAGUACAAACUGGUACUUGAGAAAAGUAAAGAUUACGUUAACAAUCCUCCUCAUAAGGGCCUCUCAAUUGUGUCUUACGAACUUCAAAUCCAUCACACUGCAACCCACAAUCAGCCGCUGAACCCACAGUAACCUGGAUCAUCCUCUUUGUCUUCAGUAUUUCCAACUUUAAACCAAUCAAAUUGGAACCGUCAAUCAGCCACAAACCACUUCUGGAACAACCUUAAUCUUCAAUCUUUACACCACCAUAGGUACAUAGAACCUUACCCUAUUAUUAUCUUACACUUACCAGAACUCAAGAAAGGGAGCCAAUUCGCUUUCUGAAUCCAGACAAAAACAUGCUUGUCAAUAGGGUGGUUCAAUUUUUUCCUACGUUUGUCUAAAAUAAAGUGCUUGCCUUUGUUUUUGUUGCAGAGUGAAAUAAGCACAUUUGCAAACACAAUACCUUUCCCUUAACUUAAAAACCUAGACAUCGCUCUAAAACCACGAGUAUACAAGCAUUUGAAUAAACUCAAAGCUUUGGUUGUGCUGUGUGUGAAUUAGUAUGAUUUAAAGCAAGUUUUUGAGGUUAUACUAACCAGCUUUACCUUAUAUGAUUAUAUACUAACAAGCGCUUGACUAAGCUUUAAUGUUUGGCCGUGCCGUGUAUGAUUACAAGUUCUCCAAGAGUUUGGGAUCAGACUAACGUGCAAAUACAAAUAAUCAGCACAGCAAGAGCCUCUGAUAAUAUGUUCGUAUUUUCGCAUCAUUUCCCAAACACAGAAGAACCAAGAUACUUCAGUUUUAUUCAAACAGACAAACACACACAAAACUCAAUAGAAAUAGAAAUUGUAAACAGCCUUACGGUAACAAUAUGCUUAUAUAUUCAAGGAAUAAAAGCAAACUGUGUCGCAAUUACUGUUUUAGAAAACACUUUUUGUUUUCCGCCCUACAAACGAGAUGCCCAGCCAAAGAUAUAUGUGGCAGGGCAUCAGAUACCAUGGGCAGACAACUAAAGAUAAAAACCAUAAUCACAAAUAUUUGCAAAUUUGUCUUUGAUUAGCAAUAUUUUUAAAAAAAGAAGCAAUUAUUGGUUUCACUACUUCGUUCACAUUGCAAUCUCAGCCGAAAGAUGGUGAAUUUAUUUAUGCAUUAAUCACCGAAAUAUCAGCACAAUUAACAUUCAUCCCAGAUUGCACAGUAAUGACAUAAUAUCAAAACAUUAAUACAAAUAUUAUUGUAAAACUAACUAUGAUUAUGAGUAUUGAAAAAGGGUAAAAAAAAAAAAAAUGAAGGAGAGAUCAGAUGGUAGUGCAUGUUUGUUUCAUCAUCCAUUACUUACAGAAUAGAAUGGGUAAAUCAUCAUCACGCCUCUCCUAAUAAAGUAAGAACAACGUAGAAAAACAUUGGAAACAAAUAAAAAUCGCUGCAAUUUGAGGAAAAUCAAUUAAAAGGACAAAUGGAAUGCGAAUCAGAUGGUAAGAUAAAAGUGUCUAUCACCAUCAAGCAUCUAGAGAGAUGCUUGUAAGACUGGGGCGACAACAGUACUCAUCAUGUUCGAUUCCAUGCGCCCUAGAGAGAGAGAGAGAGAGAGAGAGAGAGAGCGUAUUUCUGGGUGCUUCGAAGGAAGAGUGGGAUUUCGAUUGGGAGAUUUGAAGUAGGAGAGGGGGUGGUUCUGGUAUAUAUAAAGAAGAAACAUUAGGGUUUAGAUCCUAAAUAGAAUGGGCCAAGAUUAAGGUCCACCUGAUAUGAGUACGUUAAUUUGGCCCACAAAGCUUUAACUCGUCCAGGCCCAUUAAAGGGGCCUCAAAAAUGAGGAGCAAAAUGUUUUAUUAUGAAUGUGGCUGCUGGGAUUCGAGCCCAGGUCUCCACGGCCACAACGUGGAAUUCUUACCACUAAACUACAGCCACUUUGUUGUGCAACGUUCUUUAAACAUUUUAUAUAGACUAUGUUAGAGGUACAGCUAUUGGAAAAAAUUUCUAAUGCAUUUGCCAGUUAUUGGUUUGUGCUGGUAGGGUUAGACUUGAGAUAGCCUAUACGGCCAUAUAUUUUUGUGAGGGUUUUGUUUUUAAUUUCUUUUUUAAAUCAAGGAAGAUUUUCAAGAAAAGUCCGACGACAUAGAGGCUUUUGUUCUUUUUUUUUUUCUCCGGUCAAUAGCGAAAGAGCUUUGGUUAUCAUUGAUUUUCAUCCUUGUAUUUUAGAGGUUUUCAGUUUAUUUGGAGAAUGCUCAUGUGAUAUUUGGAGCAUGUACACCUCGCAAUAGGCAUUUUACCUACCCAACAGUCCGCAUUUUUCAUUUUACCUACUCGAAUCUUUCUCAACCCUACGUCAAUCCUCUCUAUUAUCAUCUACAUCUUUAUAAAAUACUAUAUAAAAUAUUAUUCAAUUUUAGUAGAGAGAGAGAGGAGAGAGAGAGAGAGAGAGAGAAUUAAAUACUCAAAACAAAGGGACACCAAUGAAUAGUUUGUUUGGUAUUUAUACCGAAGUUUUUUCAGAAAGGAAAAGUACCAAAGGGGUUAGCUAAGCUGCUGCAACCUAUGUUUUGGUGUGUUAAUAGGUAAAAUGGCUACAAAUCGUCAUUUUGCUAUUUUGGUGUACAUGCUCUUAAACUUUUGGUUGGAGCUUUACAAAAUUGAAGUACUUGUCGAAGAAAAAAAGGUAAAUAUAAAUUUAUCCACGGUUUACCAGAAAAGUUCAUUAUUAUGCAAUCAUUUCACAAGGGGGAAGGGAUAUCUAACAACGGCUCUAUGCCUAGAUACGAAUUCUCUCCUCCUCCUCUCACCACUAAUCCAGGUUUUUUCUGGCUUAUAAAUCCCACUCAAUUACAUACAAUCACAUCUGAUAUUUAUCCCUUUUAUAUUCCAUGAUAUUGUGACAAAGUCUGUUCAUCAAUCCUAUAUGGCCAAAUACAGGGCACACCCAAACUUUUCGGGGGCUUAAAGCAAAGAAAACGAUAGGUUUUUUUUUUUUUUUUAAAGCUACUACAAAGGGUACCAAAGUAUGAGGACCCUAAAAUUCGUAAAUCUUUUGCAGGCCUAAAGUGGUCAUAUCUCAGUUUUUUGCUCAAGACCGGCUCUGUGGCCAAAUUGGAGUUAGAAGCAUUUGUUUAUGGGUUUUUUAGAAAUUUGAAAUUUUAACGCCUGAAGAGUUGGCUGCCAAACAACAAAACUAAGAAAAUGGGCAUAAAACCAAAGCAGACACAAGGUUUUUUUAUUUUAUAUAUUUUAAUGUGAUUUGUUUUAUGCAAAUACUGGAGUAAUAAAUAAGGAAAACUACAGUACUCAUUGAUGACAUAAAGUCACUUUAUAAAUACCAGGAUAAACACACUACAACAGAGCAAAAGGUACAUCAAAUAAACACACUUCAACGUCAAGCCACGCAGAGCCAUAGGUACAUCAAAUGAAACUCCAAAUACAUAUAUUAGCACACACCACAAGUGCAGAACGCCACACACCAUUGCACACCAGAAAAGGAUUAUUGGUGAACUCCUACGGCCACAAUAUAUAAACUGGACUUCCCCAUGUUGCCCAGUUUCAUGGCUUACUUCUUUGAAGGUGGCGAGAGAGGGAAGGUGGGAAUGGUUGGGAAGGGCGUGGUCGCUGGUAAGGUGAAUUUGGGAAAUGGUGGCAGUUUUGGCAGAGAUGGUAUGGCCUCAACGGGUAUGAUAGGAGUCGGUGUGGCCAAAAGAUGACGAGCAGCAUCGCACCUUUCAGUGCUUGCAAUGCAGAGAAGUGCGAAGGUAAGUACGUAAAGGUAACCGCUGGAAGCCAUUGUCAAGCAGAAUGAAGGACAAGGAAGUUAUGGAAGGAUACUGAGAAACAAAGGAAAAAGCAAAGAGGGUAAAUUUGGAUUGUGAU